CUUCAGCACCACGGCGGAAGGCAGCGGUGCUGCGCGGGCGGCCGGAGCGUGCGGGCCGGCGCUGCGGGGCGCGCAGCCGGGCGCGGCCACCGACCUUCCCGGUGCGGCCACCGACCUCCCGGUGCCGCGGCGCCGGCUGCGGGGCUGCGGGAGGGGCCGUGUCGCACCUAACGGGCGCAUUACGAGGGUGAACGCUUUGCGAAGCCCGCAGCUACCCCGGUAACGGGCCGAGCGCGGCAGGACGCGUUGGUGGGUGUGUGAGCGGCCGUCCCGUCCCACCCGCUGGGCGCUGCUUGCAGGGCGCUGACGGUAAAAGCCACGCAGCGCUCCGGCGGGGCAGCGCGGCGGGGCCCAGCCCGCAGCCCGCAGCCUGCCGGUGCCCGGGACGGGCCGCGCUCCGCCUCAGCGGCAGCCCCGGCGCGGCCGUCGGUGCAGGCGGGCACCGGGCGGUCUGCGCCGCUGCGGGGACCCCCGCCGGGCCGCGGCACCUGCGCCGGGCUGGGGCAGUGCCCCCCCCCCCCCNCCCCCCCCCCCUGCACCCCCCGGUGCAGCCCCCCGGCGGCGCCCGCUCUGCCGCGCUCCCCCUGCCGGCCGGCCGCGGCGGGGGCGGCACCGGGGCCGGCGGGGCGCAGCGACGCGGGGCCGGGCGCCGCCACCCGGGACGCGGCAGCGGCGGGGGGGGCCGGGCUCGCCCGCGCACGCAGGCGCCCCGCCGCCGGCUGCCCCGGGGGGGCGGGGGGGCGUCCCGCGGCGGCCGCUCGGCGCCGGCGGCCGUGACCCGUGCGGGAGAGGCUCCCGGGAGGGCGGGGAAGUCCACUCCGGGAUUUCGGGGGCGCCGCGCAGUGACACAUUGACAUCACGGGGGCGCGGCCGGGCGGCGGGCGGGGGCUGCGCGCUGAAAGGCGGCGGGGCGCGGCCGGAGUCACUCCGGAACGGCGGCGGGACAGCGCGGAGCGGGCGGCGGGACGGCGCGGCUGCCUACACUGCCCGGGCUGGACUCCGCGCCGGGGCCGCCAAUGUGCCUCGGGGAGCAGGCGUGCACCUCGGCCUCAGGUCUGCUACUGUUCAAAUAAAUCAUAUAGCAAAGCAAGAAUGUAUCCUGUCUCCUCCUAAAGCAGACCACAAUUACUGCAAAGAAGCUGUCCGCUCAUUACUGCAAGCUCUGGGGAAAAGGAGUGACAGAAUAUAGACCAGUAUAGGAGACGAGCGUUAGUCUAGAGAGACCCUUGCUGCGGCAAGUAUAAUAUGUAAAUUCCAACAUUAAGCACUUUGGAAAAAGUCCAAAAGAUGAAGAUACAUACAUUACUGCUGCUAGGGGGAAGGAAGGGAAUCUUAAAUGUCUCUACAGAGAAUGUUUACUUGGUGGUUUUUUUUCCUUCCCUUUUUUAAAGGGCAAGACAGCUGUGAGUGAGAAACUUUACACUUAGACUAGACAUUGGAAUCAGGUUUAAUGUUAGUUUAUCCUGUUUUUAGCUGGGUUAAAGUUUAGAUGUAGAUAGGGAUGCAUAUGUACCCACUCCUGCUAAUGACCUGAAAUCACUAACAUCUGAUAGCCCUUAGAAAAAGCUAAAAUGAAGUUACUGGCUCAGCUGACUUCAUGGCAGACAAUUGGUCCUGCCUCAGAGCCUGUCUUCACAAUUAGUACCGAUUAACAGUCACGCUGCCACCAAUACUGCACAGAGACUGGAAAGUAAAAUACAGUCUUGGAGACUCUAUGAGGUCCCUUACAAAACCAAAAUGUCUUCAAAAAGCAGCUGAUCCUGCUUUGCCUGCUCUGAUGAUGGACAACUGUGUUCUUUGUUUUAGUCCUUUCCCUUCACUCCUGUGCCCGAUACUGCACGUUUUGUAAUGCCAAAGCAGCUUUUAAAAGCCCCACCCCCAAGUAUUUUAGCAGGUUAAUCUACUAGAAGUAUUCUAACAAAACACAAAGUAAACAGUGAUAUCUGUCGUAGAAUGAUUUCUGCUGUGUUUAUGCUUGCGUUUUGAAAACCCAGAACAUUACUAGAUAACUAGAUGUAGAUUAUUCUAGGUACACCUGAAGAGAUCUGUUCCUGGUGUUUUGGAAAGGGCCAGGUUCUGAGGGAAAGAAUUGGCCUGUUGUGAUGAGUAGAGCUGGAUUCUUGUAAUAAAGAAUACUGAUUCCUAGGCACGUAUCCCUCUAAAAAUUUUGAACUAACUAAACGAAAACCAUGAUUGUGUUAAAAUGGGAAAGAUGAUUAAUGGGAGAAUG
Molecule: long non-coding RNA, 2230 nt
Filed under: Falco tinnunculus (common kestrel)
Lineage: Eukaryota; Metazoa; Chordata; Aves; Falconiformes; Falconidae
Description: lncRNA (ENSFTIG00000014672.1)
Source: RNAcentral